Molecule: ribosomal RNA, 1502 nt
Filed under: Alcaligenes aquatilis
Lineage: Bacteria; Pseudomonadati; Pseudomonadota; Betaproteobacteria; Burkholderiales; Alcaligenaceae
Description: bacterial SSU rRNA
Rfam family: Bacterial small subunit ribosomal RNA
Source: RNAcentral
AGAGUUUGAUCCUGGCUCAGAUUGAACGCUAGCGGGAUGCUUUACACAUGCAAGUCGAACGGCAGCACGAGAGAGCUUGCUCUCUUGGUGGCGAGUGGCGGACGGGUGAGUAAUAUAUCGGAACGUGCCCAGUAGCGGGGGAUAACUACUCGAAAGAGUGGCUAAUACCGCAUACGCCCUACGGGGGAAAGGGGGGGAUCGCAAGACCUCUCACUAUUGGAGCGGCCGAUAUCGGAUUAGCUAGUUGGUGGGGUAAAGGCUCACCAAGGCAACGAUCCGUAGCUGGUUUGAGAGGACGACCAGCCACACUGGGACUGAGACACGGCCCAGACUCCUACGGGAGGCAGCAGUGGGGAAUUUUGGACAAUGGGGGAAACCCUGAUCCAGCCAUCCCGCGUGUAUGAUGAAAGCCUUCGGGUUGUAAAGUACUUUUGGCAGAGAAGAAAAGGCAUCCCCUAAUACGGGAUGCUGCUGACGGUAUCUGCAGAAUAAGCACCGGCUAACUACGUGCCAGCAGCCGCGGUAAUACGUAGGGUGCAAGCGUUAAUCGGAAUUACUGGGCGUAAAGCGUGUGUAGGCGGUUCGGAAAGAAAGAUGUGAAAUCCCAGGGCUCAACCUUGGAACUGCAUUUUUAACUGCCGAGCUAGAGUAUGUCAGAGGGGGGUAGAAUUCCACGUGUAGCAGUGAAAUGCGUAGAUAUGUGGAGGAAUACCGAUGGCGAAGGCAGCCCCCUGGGAUAAUACUGACGCUCAGACACGAAAGCGUGGGGAGCAAACAGGAUUAGAUACCCUGGUAGUCCACGCCCUAAACGAUGUCAACUAGCUGUUGGGGCCGUUAGGCCUUAGUAGCGCAGCUAACGCGUGAAGUUGACCGCCUGGGGAGUACGGUCGCAAGAUUAAAACUCAAAGGAAUUGACGGGGACCCGCACAAGCGGUGGAUGAUGUGGAUUAAUUCGAUGCAACGCGAAAAACCUUACCUACCCUUGACAUGUCUGGAAAGCCGAAGAGAUUUGGCCGUGCUCGCAAGAGAACCGGAACACAGGUGCUGCAUGGCUGUCGUCAGCUCGUGUCGUGAGAUGUUGGGUUAAGUCCCGCAACGAGCGCAACCCUUGUCAUUAGUUGCUACGCAAGAGCACUCUAAUGAGACUGCCGGUGACAAACCGGAGGAAGGUGGGGAUGACGUCAAGUCCUCAUGGCCCUUAUGGGUAGGGCUUCACACGUCAUACAAUGGUCGGGACAGAGGGUCGCCAACCCGCGAGGGGGAGCCAAUCUCAGAAACCCGAUCGUAGUCCGGAUCGCAGUCUGCAACUCGACUGCGUGAAGUCGGAAUCGCUAGUAAUCGCGGAUCAGAAUGUCGCGGUGAAUACGUUCCCGGGUCUUGUACACACCGCCCGUCACACCAUGGGAGUGGGUUUCACCAGAAGUAGGUAGCCUAACCGCAAGGAGGGCGCUUACCACGGUGGGAUUCAUGACUGGGGUGAAGUCGUAACAAGGUAGCCGUAA